UUUUUGUGAAUUACUUAUUAAUCUCUUAAAUACAAAGAACAAUAUGAUUAUCGUAUUCUGAUUAUUGUAAACAAAGGAUCGACGAUAAUAUAUCAACUUUUAAAUCAAUGUAUUUUAGAACGUGUUUUUUAGAAAUAGUUGCAUUGAAUGAGGGAAACAGAGAAAUAGAGGAGGAGAGAAUGUGCGAGAAUGCAAGGAUAAAUGAUUGCGAAGAAUGCGUGCACUAGUCAGUUGAGAAAGAGUUGGAAAUGAGAGUAAAGUUAAAAGAGAGAGAAAGAAAGUUUGCAGAGAAUUAUUUCAAUGAAGAGGAAUUCUUUUCAUUAUCUAAUCUGAUCAUCGAUUAUCUUCUACGAAAUCAUAUUUCUCUUUAUAUUUAUGAAAAAGAGGGAUGUAAUCUGAGUGAACACGUAAGGUAGGGUGACUCAGGCUUUCAGGUUAUAGUUGACCUGGCUACGAUGCUUGUAAAUGAAGUUAAGUUAUGGAAAAUCGGAAAAG
Molecule: long non-coding RNA, 495 nt
Organism: Apis dorsata (giant honeybee)
Lineage: Eukaryota; Metazoa; Arthropoda; Insecta; Hymenoptera; Apidae
Exons: 2
Source: RefSeq, a predicted model, not a curated record